AAGAUACUCGAAGUAAAAAUUACCCGGUACUCCCUGCUAUGUUUCAAGGGGGUUGAGUUCUACUCCCUACCACCGUGCGAAUUAAGCGAUGCUGCGCUUUCCGAUAACGAGGGCAGGGCUAAGAACGCUACCUGCCUCCCCGCGGACCAAAGCCGCGCACCCCUUCCGAGCAAAGAUCUCCGGGGAAGGGGCGGCGGGCACAGCCCCCGGCCGGUACCGGCCCCGCCACGUGCUGCCAGCGGCCCCCGCGCGCGGGGAGGCAGCGCCCCGCCCCCGUCCGCGGAACCGCCGGGGGGGGCGCCGAGAAACCCCGCCCCGCGAGCCCCGCUCGGCGCCCCCCGGGGAAGCGCGGCCUCUCGAGAGCGGCACCGCCCCCACGGCCCGAGCGCCGCGGAGCGCGGAGGCCGCGUGGGGCCGGAGAGCGAGGCGCCGCGAGCCGGCGGGAGCGGAACGGAGCGCUCCCCGCCGCGCCGCUCUCACCUCCGGGCUGCCGCCGGCGCCCGCCACCGCCUCCUCGCCGCCCCGGCCCUGACUGUGGCGCCGGUUCCGUCCCACCGCGCCGCCGCCGCCGCCGCUGCCUCCUCCCCGCGCUGCCUCCGCUCCGCGCGUCGCCAUGAUGUGACGGCAGCAUCCAAACAAGCUGCCCGGCCGAGCGCACCGGAAGCUCUCCCGGACGCCCGCCCCUUUUCCGCCGGCAGCCAAUCGCCGCGCGGCCCUCCGCCUCACGUGGGAGGUUCGCGCCCUCCCUGCUCCCCCCGGCCCGAGCGCGACUCUCUCCCCCGGCAGCGAUGGGGCUCCCCGAGGCGAGCGGACUGCGCUUCCCGGCGUGCUCCGCGCCCGGGGCCGAGCGUGGCAUACCCGGAGCAGCCGUCGGGUCCGCCGUGGGGAAUACUGGGAGAUGUAGUCCGAGCGGCGCACCGAAGCACCUCGCGGGACGGCGGGAGGCCGCUGAGGCUUGCAGCGCGGUUGCGGGGCGAGGAGUUUUAUCGCGGGCUGGUGGCGGCGGGAGAGCAGCUCCCUCCCUGCUCCCGGCUCUGCUCCGCCUCCCGGUGCCGAUUAACGCUCCGAGCCGCGUUCGUCACCCCUUUGAAGGGACGGCCGAGCGGCGCCGCGGGCUGA
This 1119-nucleotide long non-coding RNA is filed under the name Phasianus colchicus (ring-necked pheasant). RNAcentral describes it as "lncRNA (ENSPCLG00000007695.1)". The record is from RNAcentral. Lineage: Eukaryota; Metazoa; Chordata; Aves; Galliformes; Phasianidae.